Molecule: long non-coding RNA, 2514 nt
Organism: Ctenopharyngodon idella (grass carp)
Lineage: Eukaryota; Metazoa; Chordata; Actinopteri; Cypriniformes; Xenocyprididae
Exons: 4
Source: RefSeq, a predicted model, not a curated record
AAAUCCUAUAACACAGCCACUAUUAGGGUUAUAUUCAUGCGUCAUCGUUUCCUUUGCAAUAAAUCAAAAUCGACUCACACAGCGUCCAUCCAGCGAGCCAAUCAGCGCUCCGCAGGUCCGCGGUCCCGCCCACUGAACGGAGUCAGACCGAUUGAGAAAGCGGACUGAUGCAAGCUGUACUGUAGCGGUUAGUUUCUGCUUGUGUGUGUGCCUAAGAAAAAAACCACACACACAUGCUAAGCAGAAUUUCUUCAGUGUACCGAGUUGUGGUGACAAUAAAGGGGUUAUUCCUGCAUACCUGAUCAUCUCUGGUAAUCUCUCUAACUGGACACUUCCUAGUGGAUCUGUUAUCAACCGGCAAAUUCACAUGAAGAAAAGAAGCAAUAUCAGUAGCCAUUAAUUUUUACACUUUCUCUGAUUACUGUCAAGGGAAUCUGAAAGUUCAUUCACCUCCCUCAUCUGAAGUUUUCAUUGACAGCCUAUGUUUGACUGUGAAGAUAUACAGCAACAAGACUUGCCUUUACAGGCACAAUGGUCACAUGGAUGAAUUCCCAGAAAUCAUUUGCCUUUCUGUUACUGGGCAAAAGUGAAUCCUGAAAGUUUGAUUAGCUCAGCUUGUUGCUCAAGUUAUACUGGUUAAAUAUAAUAUUUAAACCCUGCUGUCUAGUUCUUGUUUCCUCAAUCUGCAUAAGCUGUUUCAACACACUAACUUUCUUUAGACUUAGAAGCUCAUGCAACUUGUCCUUAAAAGCAUAUUUCUUAAGCAUAUAAAACAUAUCAGCAUAAAAUAUUAAUCUUGCAAGGAAAAGGAGUGUUGUGACCACCUUUUUAUGACCACAGAGAGGCUGAUGAUUCUGCAACAAAGUGUUUUUGUGUGUGUGUGAGAGACACGCCUGUUGCACAUGCUCAGUGUGCUCCUACGAGACCUUGCAUGCAAGCCACAUCCUGUUUCACUCAAGAUAAAACAUCUGCUGUAAGAUUUGAGAAUAAUUCCAUAUCAGCUCGCCGGUUCAAACGGAUCUUUUAAACCUACUAGACAAGCCAUGGAUUUUGAGAACAGCAAAGAAGGAUGUAAAAAUUGCAAAGAGAACUGCAAUAACAAAUGCCAAUGUCACUGUCACACAAUAACCCAGAGUCCAAAACCUAGGCAAAUGACUGAGGAGAUGCCUGAGAAGCCUGAAAUGUCUUCAAAAGAGUGCAGUUACUGUCAUUGCGGCUACUGUUAUUUUGGCCCCUGUGAUUGUGGCUCCAAUGAUGGUGGCACUGGUGAUGGUGGCUCCGGUGAUUGUGACUCCUGCGAUUGCGGGUCCUGUGAUUGCGACUCCUGCGAUUGUGGCUCCUGUGAUUGUGGCUCCUGCGAUUGUGGGUCCUGUGAUUGUGGGUCCUGCGAUUGUGGGUCCUGUGAUUGCGGCUCCUGUGUUAUUCAGUGAAUGCUUGAAGGAUGUUGUUCAGACAGUAAUUAAUCUGUCCAGAGUAGAUGGAUUUGUGGAGACGCCGCGGUGCUCAGGACAGCUUUCAGCUCCAGUGAAGAACAUCAUCAACACAAAGACAACAGCACUGCAAACUACAAUCAAAAUCAGGACGUCUUUAGUGUUAUUAUGAAUGUUAAACAUCAUAAAGAUAAUAUUACCUGUAAAUAACUAAACUGGUUACAUUUUAUGUGAAUGUAUUCAUUAUGCAUGUGAAAUUAUUGUAAAGUUAUACUGCAUUUUCUCUGUAAAAAUACAUAUUUUUCUUUUAUAGAAUGUGGCCUUUUACAGUAUGUGGCCUGAAGCUAAAAUGCUUUUAUCGAUUAUUAACUAAAGAUAUUAGAGUAAAGUUGAUGUUUUUAGUUUUAAUGGUUAGAUUUUAACAAUUAUGUGUUUGUAGUUUAAAUUCAUAUUAAGUAAUAUUCUUUAUUACUGGACUCAAAUGAAAUGUGUUCACAUUGUUACUACAGUAGCAUGCCAUAAAGCAUUUUACAAUAAGAGAACAGUAAAAUUAACAUUAAACUACUGUCAUCUCUGCUGCCAGUAUUUCACUGUUAAUUUGAGCAUGUAAAAGGAUGGUCAACCUUCCUUUUUCCUGUUCCAGUCUAAUCUUCAGUUGAUGAUCUUUGACUGUUAUUUCCUGUUGUUUUCUAAAGUUUGGCACUCUGUGCUGCCAUGCAUUUCAUGGUUUUUAUUUUUUACACUUUUUUUAAAUAGUGCACAUGCUGUUAAGCAGAAUCACUGAAGGAAAGAGGAACAGCAAGAACUACAAAUGACUUCAGCCACAACCACAAAUCAUUAAAUCUCUCAAGAUCUGAUUAAACAACUCCACAAACAGCAUUACCAGCUUCACUGUCUCAAGCUAAUGGCUUUUUUUAUUUGUAUCUGACUGUAUGAUCUAAUUAAGAGAAACUAGAAGUGUCUAUAAUGAACUUUGUCCAUUUGAAUUUCUUCUCAGCACUGCUCAUUGUCUGUAUAUUAGACAUUAUGCAGCAGUGUGUUUAUGGGCUGUAGUAUCCGGAAACAGAGAUAAUUAUAUAAAGUU